UGAGGAAUAUUGGUCAAUGGCCGGAAGGCUGAACCAGCCAAGCCGUCGUGAAGGACGAAGGUGCCAAGCAUUGUAAACUUCUUUUGUCAAGGGACAAAAUCAGGCUCGAGAGCCUGACCGAGGGUACUUGAAGAAAAAGCAUCGGCUAACUCCGUGCC
This 158-nucleotide ribosomal RNA is filed under the name uncultured bacterium. Its description in RNAcentral is "partial 16S ribosomal RNA". It matches the Rfam family "Bacterial small subunit ribosomal RNA", at positions 355 to 509 of the family's 1533-position model. The record is from RNAcentral.